Molecule: small RNA, 601 nt
Filed under: Arabidopsis thaliana (thale cress)
Lineage: Eukaryota; Viridiplantae; Streptophyta; Magnoliopsida; Brassicales; Brassicaceae
Description: ATSL272400
Source: RNAcentral
UUUGAGACUGUUUGUUUUUUCAUGUCCAGUUUGCUUCAAGAUUGCUUUUGGUUGUGUGACUUGUUGUAUGACGUUUCUGGACUGUUUCAGACGUAAGGAGAGUCUCUUUUGGUUUUAAUUAUUGUUAGAUUCAGCUUGUUAAGGUGAGUGCGUGACCAUGAGCUUAUCUGAGCGAUUGGAUUGUAUGAUUUGUUUUGUGUGAUGAUAUGUAGGUGUGGUGAAUGUGUUUUGGGUGAAUUUUUCAAUGAUUGGUUUGUUUAUGUUGUAUUUGUGAUUAUACCCCUUUUAUUUGCUUGUGUGUAUAGCUUGUAGAUGGGAGGAUCGCCUCACUAAGUAUUUGUGAUAAUACUUACGUAUCUCUUUCUUUUUGGUGUAGGUAAAGAUAAAGUGUGAUCGUGGAAUCAUGGCAAGGAAGAGAGUAUGAUCUAGGAACUUGUUUGAUUUAUUUUUGUGUUUUGGUUAUUGGAACCCGGUUAGGGUUGUGUUAUGAUUGUUAGUCAUACUUGGUUUUCUUUGUUGAAUUAUUUAUUUAUUCAUAAAAUAGUAUUUUUGACUUGCGGUUUUAAUGUUGCUUUAUUGGUUUAUUUAAUUAAGUAUUUAU